This 370-nucleotide ribosomal RNA is filed under the name uncultured bacterium. RNAcentral's name for it is "bacterial SSU rRNA". It matches the Rfam family "Bacterial small subunit ribosomal RNA", at positions 29 to 425 of the family's 1533-position model. The record is from RNAcentral.
AGCGAACGCUGGCGGCAGGCUUAACACAUGCAAGUCGAGCGGGCGUAGCAAUACGUCAGCGGCAGACGGGUGAGUAACGCGUGGGAACGUACCUUUUGGUUUGGGAUAACCCAGGGAAACUUGGGCUAAUACCGGAUAAGCCCUUACGGGGAAAGAUUUAUCGCCGAAAGAUCGGCCCGCGUCUGAUUAGCUAGUUGGUGAGGUAACGGCUCACCAAGGCGACGAUCAGUAGCUGGUCUGAGAGGAUGAUCAGCCACAUUGGGACUGAGACACGGCCCAAACUCCUACGGGAGGCGGCAGUGGGGAAUAUUGGACAAUGGAGGAAACUCUGAUCCAGCCAUGCCGCGUGAGUGAUGAAGGCCUUCGGUUG